This is a long non-coding RNA of Asparagus officinalis (garden asparagus), 725 nucleotides long. RefSeq lists it as uncharacterized. The record is from RefSeq and is a predicted model, not a curated record. NCBI's taxonomy places the organism in Eukaryota, Viridiplantae, Streptophyta, Magnoliopsida, Asparagales, Asparagaceae. The transcript has 4 exons.
UCGUCGAACACCGAGCUCCUCCCUCGACGCUGACGCCGAGCUCCUCCCUCAUCGACGACAAGUUCCUCCCUCCUCUCCGAGCUUCCCCGCUAUCGACGCCGACGCUGACCCCGACGCUGAGCUCCUCCCCUGUGCUUCUCCCUCGUUGAAGACCGAGCUCCUCCCUCGACGCCGACGCUGAGCUCCUCCCUCGUUGAUGCAUUUGAGCAAAUAGUCAGAGGCCGAGCUCCUCCCCCGUCUAUGCCGGACUCUCUCUUCCAAUUAUUGAUGGCGAUCUCUCCAACACCCAGCCUCGACAAUCUCUUCGAAAAUCAAAGUGUUUCACUCCAAAGAACCAAUCUUUCUGAAAAAUUUUCUGAGGGCUACGAGAACACUUGGUUGUAACUUCGGAGCAUGUCAGAGCAUUUUUGGAGCCUGUUGCGUGUUCGAACAACUCAUUGGAUGACGAGUCAACCAGCUGCAGUUUCCCCCAGGUUGUUGGAGCAGAGGUUGCUGGAGCAUAAUGUUAUUUAAGCAUUUAAGCAUUUAAGUAUCUUGGAUCUCAGUCUACAUGUAUCGACAAUAACUUUGGUUGUAACUUUAUUUUGUUUUGAAACAUGAAAAUGACUCUAAUUUGUGAGAACACCUGAUUGUAACUUUGGAUGAUGUAAUCUGGUGUUAGAAAUCUCUGCUAGUUUCUUCUAAUUGUGUUUAUGGUGAAAUUGUUUAAUGUGUGUAUUCAUGAA